UUUUAUAUCUUGUUGGUUUAAAAAGUUUUAUAUAUUACUAUAUGAAAAAGAUUUUUAAAAAAAAUAUUUAAAGUAAUUAUAAAUGAAAUAUUUAUGAAACUAGAGUAAAAAGUACUGUAAAGGAAAGAAUAAACAAAAAAUAAAUAAAGUAAAGAUAAAGCUUUGUACCUUGUGUAUCAGGGAGAGUUCACAUCUGAUUAAAAAGUUAAUAAUCUCGAAACAAAAAUAGCUAAUUUUAUAAUAAAGUUUUUGUGGGAUACAAAUUUUUAAUAUAGAAUUAAAGAUGAAAUGUUAGACGAGUUUUGUUAUAUCUAGUUUUCUAAAAUAUAAAUAUAAUUUAGGUUUUAUAGGGAAAAAUAUAUAAAAAUAAAGAAUAGGAGGGAAUAGCUUCUUAUUAAUAGAUUUAAUAAUUAAGUAAUAUGAAAAAAUUAAACUAAACUUGAAAGUAGUUAUGUUAAUAAAGUGUUUUAACUAAGAUUUAUGGCAAUUUAUUUAAAAUUUUAAAAAAUAUUAGAAGAUUUGUUUAGAACAAAAAUAAAAAAGAAAAAAUGAUUCUAUUAGUAGAGGAGAUAAAAAAAAAUAAAAAUAAAAUAAUAGGGGAAUUAUUUUCAAAGAAAGGUAAUUGUAGAGGAAUUCAGCAAUAUUUUUCUUUGCCUGUUUAUCAAAAACAUGUCUGUCUGGGGUUAUGGAAAGUCUAACCUGCCCACUGAAAUAUUAAAGGGCCGCGGUAUUAUGACCGUGCAAAGGUAGCAUAAUCAUUAGGUUUUUAAAUGGGAUCUUGAAUGAAUGGUUGGACAAAAGAAAAACUGUCUUUAUAUUAACGGCGAAUUUAACUUUUAAGUGAGAAGGCUUAAAUGAACUAGAGGGACGAUAAGACCCUAUAAAACUUUACAUUUUGGCUAAAUUUUAAAGAAUUUAAUAAAUAAAGUUUUAUUUAGUUAUUUUGUUUUGUUGGGGCGACACAAGUAAAAUUUUAGUUAACUGCUUGAACACAAAACAAUUAUAAUUGAAACAAGAUAUGAUCCUUAAUAAUGAUUAAAAGAUUAAGUUACUUUAGGGAUAACAGUGUAAUUUUUUUUGAGAGUCCAUAUCGAAAAGAGAGUUUGCAACCUCGAUGUUGAAUUAAGAUAUCUAUAUAACGCAGCUGUUAUACAAGAAGGUCUGUUCGACCUUUAAAAUUUU
RNAcentral lists this ribosomal RNA (1182 nucleotides) under Travancoriana schirnerae. RNAcentral's name for it is "partial 16S ribosomal RNA". Lineage: Eukaryota; Metazoa; Arthropoda; Malacostraca; Decapoda; Gecarcinucidae. The record is from RNAcentral.